RNAcentral lists this ribosomal RNA (582 nucleotides) under uncultured Bacteroidota bacterium. RNAcentral describes it as "bacterial SSU rRNA". It matches the Rfam family "Bacterial small subunit ribosomal RNA", at positions 118 to 698 of the family's 1533-position model. The record is from RNAcentral. Lineage: Bacteria; Pseudomonadati; Bacteroidota.
UACGCAAUCUGCCCUUACCCGGAGCAUAGCCCGAAGAAAUUCGGAUUAACUCUCCAUAAGAUAGUAGAAUGGCAUCAUUUAGCUAUUAAAAAUUUAUUGGGUAAGGAUGAGCGUGCGUCCCAUUAGCUAGUUGGUAGGGUAACGGCCUACCAAGGCGACGAUGGGUAGCUGGUGUGAGAGCACGACCAGCCACACGGGCACUGAGACACGGGCCCGACUCCUACGGGAGGCAGCAGUGAGGAAUAUUGGUCAAUGGACGCAAGUCUGAACCAGCCAUGCCGCGUGAAGGAUGAAGGCCUUCUGGGUUGUAAACUUCUUUUAUGUGGGAAGAAACCUCUGAUUUCUAUUAGAGUUGACGGUACCAUAGGAAUAAGCACCGGCUAACUCCGUGCCAGCAGCCGCGGUAAUACGGAGGGUGCAAGCGUUAUCCGGAUUUACUGGGUUUAAAGGGUGUGUAGGCGGGCUAUUAAGUCAGUGGUGAAAUCUCCGAGCUUAACUUGGAAACUGCCAUUGAUACUAUUAGUCUUGAAUUUUGUUGAGGUAGGCGGAAUAAGUCAUGUAGCGGUGAAAUGCAUAGAUAUG